CUUUAUCUAAUUAAAGAAUUUCGGAAACGGAUAGGCUCGCGUGACAUUAGCUAGAUGGCGGGGUAACGGCCCACCAUGGCGACGAUGUCUAGGGGUUCUGAGAGGAAGGUCCCCCACACUGGAACUGAGACACGGUCCAGACUCCUACGGGAGGCAGCAGUGAGGAAUAUUGGUCAAUGGUCGAGAGACUGAACCAGCCAUGCCGCGUGAAGGUCACGGCCCUAUGGGUCUUAAACUUCUUUUGUAAGGGAGCAAUAAGUCUCACGUGUGGGAUGAUGAGAGUACCUUACGAAUAAGCAUCGGCUAACUCCGUGCCAGCAGCCGCGGUAAUACGGGGGAUGCAAGCGUUAUCCGGAUUUAUUGGGUUUAAAGGGUGCGUAGGCGGUCUGUUAAGUCAGCGGUGAAAUUUAGGGGCUCAACCUCUACCGUGCCGUUGAUACUGGCAGUCUGGAAUGCGGAUGCCGUGGGAGGAAUGUGUGGUGUAGCGGUGAAAUGCAUAGAUAUCACACAGAACACCGAUUGCGAAGGCAUCUCACGAAUCCGCAAUUGACGCUGAGGCACGAAAGCGUGGGGAUCAAACAGGAUUAGAUACCCUGGUAGUCCACGCUGUAAACGAUGAUGACUAACCGUCGGCGAUAUACAGUCGGUGGCCAAGCGAAAGCGAUAAGUCAUCCACCUGGGGAGUACGACCGCAAGGUUGAAACUCAAAGGAAUUGACGGGGGCCCGCACAAGCGGAGGAACAUGUGGUUUAAUUCGAUGAUACGCGAGGAACCUUACCCGGGCUCGAACGGCAGAUGAAUAUAUUAGAGAUAGUAUAGUCUUCGGACAUCUGUCGAGGUGCUGCAUGGUUGUCGUCAGCUCGUGCUGUGAAGUGUCGGCUUAAGUGCCAUAACGAGCGCAACCCUUGCCGUUAGUUGCCAUCAGGUUAUGCUGGGGACUCUAGCGGGACUGCCACCGCAAGGCGUGAGGAAGGGGGGGAUGACGUCAAAUCAGCACGGCCCUUACGUCCGGGGCGACACACGUGUUACAAUGGUGAGUACAGAGGGAAGCUACCUGGCGACAGGAUGCAGAUCUCGAAAGCUCAUCCCAGUUCGGAUUGGAGUCUGCAACCCGACUCCAUGAAGUUGGAUUCGCUCCCA
This 1140-nucleotide ribosomal RNA is filed under the name uncultured bacterium. Its description in RNAcentral is "bacterial SSU rRNA". It matches the Rfam family "Bacterial small subunit ribosomal RNA", at positions 191 to 1340 of the family's 1533-position model. The record is from RNAcentral.